Molecule: small nucleolar RNA, 74 nt
Organism: Accipiter nisus (Eurasian sparrowhawk)
Lineage: Eukaryota; Metazoa; Chordata; Aves; Accipitriformes; Accipitridae
Source: Ensembl
CCUUCACUGAUGAGUAACUAUUUGACUUUCGUUCUUCUGAGCUUUCUGAAGCAACGUUUAUUGAUCUGAGGAGG